UGAACGGUUAAAGCCAUAUCACAUGUGU
RNAcentral lists this small RNA (28 nucleotides) under Bombyx mori (domestic silkworm). RNAcentral describes it as "ovarian small RNA-30785". Lineage: Eukaryota; Metazoa; Arthropoda; Insecta; Lepidoptera; Bombycidae. The record is from RNAcentral.